RNAcentral lists this unclassified non-coding RNA (268 nucleotides) under Bombus terrestris (buff-tailed bumblebee). Its description in RNAcentral is "misc RNA ENSBTSG00005030177.1". The record is from RNAcentral. Lineage: Eukaryota; Metazoa; Arthropoda; Insecta; Hymenoptera; Apidae.
AAAGAAUCAGCGCCAGAACGACCAAGGCUACCUCACUAUCCCGUAAUCCAGGAUGAAUCUCGUGCUAUACAGACCGAGCACGUUGCCGAAGAAUCUGGGUCCUAUUGGUGAAUCGAAUUAUGCUCGGUUACUUGAACCUACUAAGUCCUCUCCUUUCCCAGAUUCAGUGCCAUGGGGUCAGCCCUACAGAGACUCAGCAAGUCAUGGUGCAACAUAGGUAAUUUGUUUCCAGAUUAUACUUGUACUAAAUUUUUAAUAAAUGUAUGUU